GAUGAACGCUAGCUACAGGCUUUAACACAUGCAAGCCGAACGGUAACAGAAAGAAGCUUGCUUCUUUGCUGACGAGUGGCGGACGGGUGAGUAGUGUCUGGGAAACUGCCUGAUGGAGGGGGAUAACUACUGGAAACGGUAGCUAAUACCGCAUAACGUCGCAAGACCAAAGAGGGGGGACCUUCGGGCCUCUUGCCAUCGGAUGUGCCCAGAUGGGAUUAGCUUGUUGGUGGGGUAACGGCUCACCAAAGGCGACGAUCCCUAGCUGGUCUGAGAGGAUGACCAGCCACACUGGAACUGAGACACGGUCCAGACUCCUACGGGAGGCAGCAGUGGGGAAUAUUGCACAAUGGGCGCAAAGCCUGAUGCAGCCAUGCCGCGUGUAUGAAGAAGGCC
This 396-nucleotide ribosomal RNA is filed under the name uncultured bacterium. RNAcentral describes it as "bacterial SSU rRNA". It matches the Rfam family "Bacterial small subunit ribosomal RNA", at positions 28 to 416 of the family's 1533-position model. The record is from RNAcentral.